AAUAUUGCACAAUGGGCGCAAGCCUGAAGCAGCCAUGCCGCGUGAGUGAUGAAGGCCUUCGGGUUGUAAAGCCCUUUUGGCGGGGACGAUGAUGACGGUACCCGCAGAAGAAGCCCCGGCUAACUUCGUGCCAGCAGCCGCGGUAAUACGAAGGGGGCUAGCGUUGUUCGGAAUUACUGGGCGUAAAGGGCGCGUAGGCGGCCUUGAUAGUUGGGCGUGAAAGGCCUGGGCUUAACCCGGGAACUGCGUUCAAUACUGCGAGGCUAGAGUGUGGGAGAGGUUGGUGGAAUUCCCAGUGUAGAGGUGAAAUUCGUAGAUAUUGGGAAGAACACCGGUGGCGAAGGCGGCCAACUGGACCACAACUGACGCUGAGGCGCGAAAGCGUGGGGAGCAAAC
Molecule: ribosomal RNA, 396 nt
Filed under: uncultured bacterium
Lineage: Bacteria
Description: bacterial SSU rRNA
Rfam family: Bacterial small subunit ribosomal RNA
Source: RNAcentral